CAGCCGCCGCGGUAAUACAGAGGGUGCGAGCGUUAAUCGGAUUUACUGGGCGUAAAGCGUGCGUAGGCGGCUUCUUAAGUCGGAUGUGAAAUCCCCGAGCUUAACUUGGGAAUUGCAUUCGAUACUGGUUAGCUAGAGUGUGGGAGAGGAUGGUAGAAUUCCAGGUGUAGCGGUGAAAUGCGUAGAGAUCUGGAGGAAUACCGAUGGCGAAGGCAGCCAUCUGGCCUAACACUGACGCUGAGGUACGAAAGCAUGGGGAGCAAACAGGAUUAGAUACCCCAGUAGUCCCUGUCUCUUAUAC
This 301-nucleotide ribosomal RNA is filed under the name uncultured bacterium. RNAcentral describes it as "partial 16S ribosomal RNA". It matches the Rfam family "Bacterial small subunit ribosomal RNA", at positions 509 to 807 of the family's 1533-position model. The record is from RNAcentral.